This 4700-nucleotide long non-coding RNA is filed under the name Vitis vinifera (wine grape). Its description in RNAcentral is "long non-coding RNA (VVIN_LNC005426)". The record is from RNAcentral. Lineage: Eukaryota; Viridiplantae; Streptophyta; Magnoliopsida; Vitales; Vitaceae.
GCCCACUGCCUUCAACCGAUCAUCAAUGAACCACAUCAAAUCGCUAGAAUCUUUGAUGCUCAUAUCCUGCAACCCCUUCUCCCCAGCCUGGCACUGGUACAUGAGGUUUUCCAUCUCUAUUCUCCUGUUCUUCUUCUGUUGUUUUACCAGCUGGUCCUUAGCUUUGGCCACCCUCUGCCUCAUAUAGUUUUAUUGGUUUAACCUCUUCUUGGUCUGGUCGUUCUCUGGCUUGCACUUGAACUCCCUGAUCAUCCGUACUGUCUCCAUUGGAGUUUAAAGCUUUUAAAUUUCCAUGAAUGUGUAAACAGUGGGAGAAGAGCUUUUCCAUUGAUUUUCUAUUCAAGUUGGGCAUAGAGAAGUGUUUUUUAAUUUUUUCUGCAUGAAAUGUUGAAAUUGUUUCUAUGUGUAGAUUACAAUAUAUUAUCUCCCAAAGUCAUGUGUCUCCUAAAAAGCACUCUCAUGUAGGUGAUUUUUUUUUAUUUUUUUUUUUGAGAAUUAAUGGAGUUAUUAUGUUUGGAGUCGGAGUUCCUUUUUUUUACUUUAUUUGUUCUAUAGACACCACAAAAUGAGGGCAUGGCAAAUUUUUCCUGUUGCUUAAUUCAUUCAUCAACCAAAAAGGUUUUUCCAAUCUCUUAAAUCUAAAAAGGAGUGCUCUACCAUUCUUGGUUGAGUUAGAAAACGAUGUUCUACUCUAAUAAUAUUCUGUUAGGCAACCAUUUGGUCUCUUUCCCUUUUAGGUUUCUUUCUUUUUUGUGUUCUUGAAUAGUAUCUCUACUUUAAUGCAACUAGUAAUGAGAAAUUGUAAUAUUUGUAGGGAACAUUGGCUGAUAUAUUUCUAAGGGGCACCAUUUUAAUGACAAAUACUUGAGGGAUGACAUCUUUGGUAAGAGCUCCUUCCUUGCCUCCAUUUGUGUCAUUUUCCCAAGUGUUAUCAUAAUUGUCUUGCUUGAUAGAGCUCCCAUUACAUAUUCUUGGCCAUAACUGGCAUUAGCUUUUCACUCUAAAAAUAAUAAAAUUUAGUAGCAUAAUCACUAGGAAAGAAAACUACACUUACAUUAAAUAGACUAGUUGCAGAAUGUGCAUCAACUGUACUAAAUGGAUCAUCCAAGAGAUAUCCAUUUGCAUCUUAAUAUAAUGCACGUGCCAGUUGAACUCGUUGCUUCUGUCCACAACUCAAAUUAACAUCUCUUUCUCUUAUUCUAGUGAGAUCACUGAAUGGAAGCAUCUCGAUGUCCUUCACUAGGGAAUAGUUUUCAAUCACUUCCCUGUAUCUGUAUGGAUCCAUGGCAGACCCAAAAAGAAUAUUUUCUUGUGUAGUCUCUAUAAUGAUCCAUGCUGCCUGAGAGACAUAAGCCUUCUUUCCAUAUACUUAAACCUAGCAAAUAUGAGUCUAGAAACCAUAUUACUUUUCUAUACUAUCAAUCAACCAUUCUGCUUAAUCAAUGUAUUUACAAAUUUCCUAUCCGACCUGGACCCUUGGGAAAACUUCAAAUUAUCUUCUUUGAAUUUUUAGAUAAAAAAAGACGUCCUAAUAAUUUGUCACUCUUGUCAGCUACUAUAUAUGGUUGUGUCCUUCCUCAUUCUUUGAUUUCAUUUUCUUUCCUACCUAGAUUUUAAAAAGUUUUAUUAAAAAAACCCUUUUCUUUAGUUUAUUCAAAAUAUUUUAUAUUUAAUAGUGAAAAGUAUUAUUAACACUAAAAAAAUAAUUAAUUAGAUUUAUAUUAGCAAAAGAAACCUCUAAAUUAAGUUUACGUUUGGAAGUACUUUUUGUUUUUCAAAUUAGAAAUUUUAUAUAAAAAUAGAAUAUUGUGUAUGAAACAUAGAUAUUUAUCUUUUCUUUUUUUUUUUUUUUAAAGAAAAAUGAUUUUUAGAAAUUUUAGAAUUUGAGAUAGUAAAUUUUUUUAUAUCUUAAUUUUUAAAAUUUUUUUUUUUUUCAAGAUAAUUUUUUUUUUUUAAAGAAAAAAAAAGUUUUAGAAAUUUUAGAGUUUGAGAUAGUAAAUUUUUUUAUAUCUUACUUUUUAAAUUUAUUAUUUUUUUCAAGGUAAUUCUUUAAGAGUUUUUUUUUUAUCUUAUAUAAAUAUUAUUACUAUUUUCUAGUUUUAAAAAUAAAAAUAAAAAGUGUACUAUAGAAACAAACAUUAAUUUGUUAUAAAAAAAAUAUAAAUUAAAUAUAUCCAUUUUUCUCACAUCUUUAAACACACUCCAUUUUGCUAAACCCCUAAAGAAAGUUUCCAAUUUUUAGCAUAAAUAAUUGUGAGCUACCUAUAUUGAAAUUGACUUCUUAUAGGGGUUCUGUUUUCCGUACAUCCACCGUACUUGGACUCCCUCAAACACAUCUACCACCUCCUCAUGACCAUCAAUGCCCCACCAUGGAUCCCAUUUUCUCAAACAUAUCUCUACUUUCCAUACCAUUCUCUCUUCCAAUUUUCUUCUACUCCUCUUAUAUCUAAGAAUGGUUGGUGUAGACAUAGAGAAGGAUUGGUAAUCCUUAUUAGAAUUUGUUUUCCAUUACUAUUUUGAGUUGGAAUCAUCCUCUUUUAGACCAUGUUUUAGAUUUUUAUUUGGUUCUAGCUUUAUUACCAUUUUUUUAUGUUAUGAUUUGUGUGAAAAAAUAUUUGUAAAAAUGCUUCCUUGAAAAUAAAUUUGGAGCUAUUUAGAAUAUUUAUAAUUAUAAUAAAUUUGUGAAAAUAAAUUAUUAUAAUAACCAAAAAUAGUGUCCCUUUUGUAAACUUCUGCUUUGCUUAAUGGAUACGUGGAGAACGUAAUGGAAAAAAAUUAUUACAGCCAAUCCAGAACCCCCUAAAUAUAAUUCCAAUUUCCAAUAGAAAAUGAGGAAGAAAACCAAAUCCCAUUCUCUUUAUAACUUAUACUACUCUCUUGUAAGGAUGAUAAUGCCCAUCUGUCUUGCUAUUAAUUAUAUAUUGAUUAUGCUAUUAAUUAUGUUUGUUGUACUGUUAAGAUAAAUUGGAAUUCAAAAAACCUUCCUUUGUCAAUGUUGCACAUUCGAUGAGGUCUAUUACUAUUAGACGAUGCCUAAUUGAAUAUUUUAAUGGACUAUUGAUGUUGAUAUUCUCUUGUCCCAAACUUGAUUUGUUUUUCUAUUUUCUUUUGGGAUAUACUAAAGAUUUAAUGGAUUAUUGAUGUUAAUGGUCUCUUGUCCCGUAUUUGAUUAAUCUCUUGCUUUGUGUUUUAACUAUUGAUAAUAAUUUUUUUGUAAUUAUUCUUAGGGUCACAUAUGUCAAUUGGUAUACACAUUUGUUUUCCUAUUAUAUUUUUAUUGUCAUUUCUUUAAUUACCAUCUUAUGUAUGCAGAUGCCCUCAUUUCAGUCUAGUAAGAGUUGUAGAUCACAGUUUGACGAUUCUCAUAUGUUCUCAUCUCAUGAUAAGUAAUUUCUUCCUCCAUAGUAAUAGAAGAUAAUAGUUUUAUACAUAAACUAUUUCAAUAUAACAAAUCAAAUUAUUACAUCAUCACCAAUGUUGUUACAUGGAGAAGUUAUGUUUGUUAUUGUUGUAUGAAGAAGAAGCAUGUAAUUUGUGAACUCAAUAAAUCAAAUUAUUAUAUGAUUAUCAUCAAUGUUGUCAUUAUUAUUGUUGUUGUUGCAUAGAGAAGUUGUUAUUGUUAUAUGUUUGGACUAAACAAUUCAAAUUAUUACUAAUAUAAUUAUCACCAUUGAUCAUCAAUGUUAUUGUUAUUGUUGUUGUUGUUGUUACAUGGAGAAAUUGUUAUUGUUGUAUGGAGAAGUUGUUAUUGUUGUUAGAGAAGUUGUUGUUGGAUGGAGGGAUGGUAGAGAGCUUUUUUUGUGUAGGGUUAAUUAUUAUAUUUUGGUUAUAAUUUUGGAAUUGGAAAUAAAGGCAAGUUUUAGAAUGGUUGUUAUUAUGACAUUCAACCAAUGAUUUGUAGGUUUCUAUUUCCUUGGUUUUGCUCUAUUAAUUUUUAGUUUAAUACUCUUUUUUUCCUUAUGGAAUGUUAUUAGUCAACUAAAUUUGAUAAUAUAGGAAAGUUGUAAGAAGAAAUUAAGGCAUUUACAAGUGGUUGAUAUUAAAUGUCUUAUAUUACUAGAUAUGAUGAUUUAUGAUUGAAACUAAUUAUAAACCAUACCUAUUGGUAUCUUCAUAUAUUUAUUAAUGAGAAAUGAGUUUCAUAUGUUAGACAUGAUAAGAAAAUAUUAUAUUACAUUCCAUAUUGUAGAAUUUAUACAAUUGAAAGUCUAACUUGUUUCCUCUAACUUAAUAAUGAACUAAAAGUCUAUUAAUAUUUUAUAAACAAGUGUCAAAUUAAACAAUUUUUCAUCUUCAUUAAUUGAAGCAUAACAUCUCAUUAAAUACCAAGUUAUUCUUAUUUGCACUUCUUUCAUGGGCCAUUUAUAGAUUUAAAUUUAACUUUCAUUGCAUGUAUAUUAACUAAUCAUAAUUUGUUUCUUCUAUUAAUUCUUUUUUUAAAUGUAUACAGGUAAAAGAUUUCAAGUUCAGGAGUGGAUAUGCAACCAACAGAAAUACUUUUGGCUAGAAAUACUUAUGGCUUCUUCUUCUUCUUCUUGUAAUAUUAUUUUUGAUAAGGAAUUUAGAGACCUUGUUUUUUGGUACAUGUGUACUUGUUUUAUGUUGAAGUUGGAAAAUAUGCUUGUAAAUAUUUUAAUACAUUUACAAAUUUGCAUAUUAAUUAACUAUAUAGACAUUAGUUCUUUAUCAUGAUAUUAUUC